This 1340-nucleotide ribosomal RNA is filed under the name human oral metagenome. Its description in RNAcentral is "bacterial LSU rRNA". It matches the Rfam family "Bacterial large subunit ribosomal RNA", at positions 1142 to 2487 of the family's 2925-position model. The record is from RNAcentral.
UCACUAGUCGAGUGACGCUGCGCCGAAAAUGUACCGGGGCUAAGCAUAGUACCGAAACUGUGGAUGCAUAUCAAAGGAUAUGCGUGGUAGGAGAGCGUUCUAAGAGCGGCGAAGUUAGAUCGAGAGGACUAAUGGAGCGCUUAGAAGUGAGAAUGCCGGUAUGAGUAGCGAAAGAUAGGUGAGAAUCCUAUCCGCCGAAAGACUAAGGUUUCCUGGGGCAGGCUCGUCCGCCCAGGGUAAGUCGGGACCUAAGGUAAGGCCGAGAGGCGUAGCCGAUGGACAACAGGUAGAGAUUCCUGUACUGAAAUUGUUCGAUAAGAGCAAAGGAGGGACGCAGGAGGCUAAUGACGCAUGUAGCUGGAAAAACAUGUGCAAGCAGUAAGAAAAAAGAUGAGUCAAAUGCUUAUGUUUAGAUUUCAAGCUGUGACGCGGAGUGAAAUCAAAGUAGCGAAGGUCAUGAUGUCACACUGCCAAGAAAAGCUUCUAGCCAGAGCAAUUUUACCCGUACCGCAAACCGACACAGGUAGUCGAGUGGAGAACACUCAGGUGAGCGAGAGAACUCUCGUUAAGGAACUCGGCAAAAUGACCCCGUAACUUCGGGAGAAGGGGUGCUGAUGGUAAAAGAUCAGCCGCAGUGAAUAGGCCCAAGCAACUGUUUAUCAAAAACACAGGUAUCUGCAAAAUCGUAAGAUGACGUAUAGGUGCUGACACCUGCCCGGUGCUGGAAGGUUAAGAGGAGAGCUUAGCGCAAGCGAAGGUUUGAAUUGAAGCCCCAGUAAACGGCGGCCGUAACUAUAACGGUCCUAAGGUAGCGAAAUUCCUUGUCGGGUAAGUUCCGACCUGCACGAAAGGUGUAAUGAUUUGGGCACUGUCUCAACGAGAGACUCGGUGAAAUUAUAAUACCCGUGAAGAUGCGGGUUACCCGCGACAGGACGGAAAGACCCCAUGGAGCUUUACUGUAGCUUGAUAUUGAGUAUUUGUUAAACAUGUACAGGAUAGGUAGGAGCCAGAGAAAGUAGGACGCUAGUCUUACUGGAGGCAAUGUUGGGAUACUACCCUUGUUUGAUGGAUCCUCUAACUCGCAGAGCUGAGCGUUCUGGAGGACAGUGUCAGGUGGGCAGUUUGACUGGGGCGGUCGCCUCCUAAAAUGUAACGGAGGCGCCCAAAGGUUCCCUCAGAAUGGUUGGAAAUCAUUCGCAGAGUGUAAAGGUAUAAGGGAGCUUGACUGCGAGAGCUACAACUCGAGCAGGGACGAAAGUCGGGCUUAGUGAUCCGGUGGUUCCGUAUGGAAGGGCCAUCGCUCAACGGAUAAAAGCUACCCUGGGGAUAACAGGCUUAUC